This 108-nucleotide non-coding RNA is filed under the name bacterium E08(2017). RNAcentral's name for it is "Bacterial small subunit ribosomal RNA". It matches the Rfam family "Bacterial small subunit ribosomal RNA", at positions 1 to 106 of the family's 1533-position model. The record is from Rfam by way of RNAcentral.
GUUUUGGAGAGUUUGAUUCUGGCUCAGAACGAACGCUGGCAGCGUGGAUUAGGCAUGCAAGUCGAACGGGAAGCUGUUGAUCAAUUCUUCGGGAGAGUGAUACAGUGG